GAUGAAGAACGUAGCGAAAUGCGAUAAGUAGUGUGAAUUGCAGAAUUCAGUGAAUCAUCGAAUCUUUGAACGCACAUUGCGCCCCUUGGUAUUCCAUGGGGCAUGCCUGUUCGAGCGUCAUUUGUACCCUCAAGCUUUGCUUGGUGUUGGGUGUUUGUCCCGCGUUGCGCGUGGACUCGCCUUAAAGCGAUUGGCAGCCGGCAUAUUGGCCUUGGAGCGCAGCACAUUUUGCGCUUCUAGUCAUGAAUGUUGGCGUCCAUUAAGCCUAUACAUUUGCUCUUGAACUCGGAUCAGGUAGGGAUACCCGCUGAACUUAAGCAUAUCAAUAAGCGGAGGA
RNAcentral lists this unclassified non-coding RNA (337 nucleotides) under soil metagenome. RNAcentral's name for it is "partial contains 5.8S ribosomal RNA, internal transcribed spacer 2, and large subunit ribosomal RNA". The stretch from base 1 to 120 matches the Rfam family "5.8S ribosomal RNA", at positions 35 to 154 of the family's 154-position model. The record is from RNAcentral.